AAACUUACCCUCAGUACGGGGAUAAACCCGGGAAACUGGGUAUAAUACCCGAUAGUUCUAAGAUGCUGGAAUGCGUUUAGGACGAAAGCUCCGGCGACUGAGGAUGGGUCUGCGGCCUAUCAGGUAGUAGUGGGUGUAAUGUACCUACUAGCCUACGACGGGUACGGGUCGUGAGAGCGAGAGCCCGGAGAUGGAUUCUGAGACACGAAUCCAGGCCCUACGGGGUGCAGCAGGCGCGAAAACUUUACAAUGCUGGCAACGGCGAUAAGGGGACCUCGAGUGCCAGGAUACAAUCUUGGCUGUCGCGAUGCCUAAAAAGCAUUGCAUAGCAAGGGCCGGGCAAGACCGGUGCCAGCCGCCGCGGUAACACCGGCGGCUCGAGUGGUAACCGCUAUUAUUGGGUCUAAAGGGUCUGUAGCCGGCCGGAUAAGUCUCUUGGGAAAUCCAGCUGCUCAACAGUUGGGCUUUCAGGAGAUACUGUUCGGCUCGAGACCGGGAGAGGUGAGAGGUACUUCAGGGGUAGGGGUGAAAUCUUGUAAUCCUUGAAGGACCACCAGUGGCGAAGGCGUCUCACCAGAACGGAUCUGACGGCAAGGGACGAAAGCUAGGGGCACGAACCGGAUUAGAUACCCGGGUAGUCCUGGCCGUAAACGAU
This 655-nucleotide ribosomal RNA is filed under the name uncultured archaeon. RNAcentral describes it as "bacterial SSU rRNA". It matches the Rfam family "Archaeal small subunit ribosomal RNA", at positions 105 to 761 of the family's 1478-position model. The record is from RNAcentral.